CGUGGCUACUGUGCCACCUGGUGGAUAGCUCGGCUCGAGUGCCGAUGAAGGACGUGCCAAGCUGCGAUAAGCUCCAGGGACCCGCACGGAGGGUAAGAACUGGAGAUUUCCGAAUGGGAAUCCCCUCGCAAUUGCUUCGCGCAAUGGGGAACGCCGGGAAUUGAAACAUCUCAGUACCGGCAGGAAGAGAAACCAAACGGGAUGUCGUUAGUAACGGCGAGUAAACGCGACACAGUCCAAACCGAAGCCUUCGGGCAAUGUGGUGUUCGGACUGACCCCCAUCAUCGGACCGUCUACAUGAAGUCUCCUGGAACGGAGCGUGAUACAGGGUGACAACCCCGUAAUGUAGACCAGUACGAUGUGAGUCAGCUCCAGAGUAUCGGGGGUUGGAUAUCCCUCGUGAAUACGGCCGGCAUUGACGGCUAAGACUAAAUACAUCUCGAGACCGAUAGCGAACAAGUAGCGUGAGCGAACGCUGAAAAGCACCCCACAACGGGAGGUGCAAUAGGGCUUGAAAUCAGGUGGCGAUCGAGCGACGGGGCAUACAAGGUCCCCCGAAAAAUGACCCAGGCGCGAGCCUGCAGUAAGAAUCGGAGGAAGCCGAUGUUCCGUCGUACGUUUUGAAAAACGAACCAGGGAGUGUGUCUGAAUGGCAAGUCUAACCUGAGUAUCAGGGAAGGCGCAGGGAAACCGACAUGGUCGCAGGGCUCUGCCCCAGGACCGCCGUGUUCAAGCGCGGGGAGUCAUUCGGACACGACCCGAAACCGGACGAUCUAUGCGUGGGCAAGGUGAAGCGUGCCGAAAGGCACGUGGAAGCCUGCUAGAGUUGGUGUCCUACAAUACCCUCUCGUGACCUACGUAUAGGGGUGAAAGGCCCAUCGAGUCCGGCAACAGCUGGUUCCAACCGAAACAUGUCGAAGCAUGACCUCUGCCGAGGUAGUUCGUGAGGUAGAGACACUGAUUGGGAGACCCAACUCCGAGAGGAGUUGGCCUCCCUGUCAAACUCCGAACUUACGAACGCCGCUGACGCAGGGAGUCCGGUGUGCGGGGUAAGCCUGUGCACCAUGAGGGAGACAACCCAGAGCCGGGUUAAGGUCCCCAAGUGUGGAUUAAGUGCGAUCGAAGGUGGUCUCGAGCCCUAAACAGCCGGGAGGUGAGCUUAGAAGCAGCUACCCUCUAAGAAAAGCGUAACAGCUUACCGGCCGAGGUUCGAGGCGCCCAAAAUGAUCGGGGCUCAAAUCCACCACCGAGACCUGGCGGCGCCAGUCACAUGGCGAUCCAGUAGGUUGGCGUUCUGUUCGGGUGGAAGCACGGGCGAGAGCUCGCGUGGACCGUCCAGUAACGAAAAUCCUGGUCAUAGUAGCAGCGUUAGUCGGGUUAGAACCCCGACGGCCGAACGAGCAAGGGUUCCUCGGCAAUGCUGAUCAGCCGAGGGUUAGCCGAUCCUAAGUCUCACCGUAAGUCGAAUGAGACAACAGGGAAACUGGUUAAUAUUCCAGUGCCAUCAUGCAGUGAAACCGACGCUUUGGGGUCGCCUGAGCCGGGCUAUCGCCCGGUCGAACCGUCAAACUCCGUGGACGCCGUAAUGGCAGGAAGCGGACGAACGGCGGGAUAGGGAAACUCAGGUCAACCUAGAGCCCGUGAAAAGGGAGCAUGAUGUUCGUACCAAGAACCGACACAGGUGCUCGUGGCGGCGAAAGCCAAGGCCUGUCGGGAGCAACCGACGUUAGGGAAUUCGGCAAGCUAGUCCCGUACGUUCGCAAUAAGGGAUGCCUGCCUCCGACGAGGCAGGUCGCAGUGACUCGGACGCUCCGACUGUCUAGUAACAACAUAGGUGACCGCAAAUCCGUAAGGACUCGUACGGUCACUGAAUCCUGCCCAGUGCGGGUAUCUGAACACCCAGUACAAUGGGGCGAAGGACCCGUUAACGGCGGGGGUAACUAUGACCCUCUUAAGGUAGCGUAGUACCUUGCCGCUUCAGUAGCGGCUUGCAUGAAUGGAUCAACGAGAGCGUCACUGUCCCAACGUUGGGCCCGGUGAACUGUACGUUCCAGUGCGGAGUCUGGAGACCCCCAAGGGGAAGCGAAGACCCUAUAGAGCUUUACUGCAGGCUGUCGCUGGGACACGGUCGCUAAUGUGCAGCAUAGGUAGGAGUCGAUACACAGGUGCGCGCGCCAGCGCGUCGCCGAGACAGCAUUGAAAUACUACCCGUUAGUGACUGUGACCCUCACUCCGGGAGGAGGACACCGGUAGCCGGGCAGUUUGACUGGGGCGGUACGCGCUUGAAAAGAUAUCGAGCGCGCCCCAAGAUUUCCUCAUCCGGGUCGGAGACCCGGAACUGAGCGCAAGAGCAUAAGGAAGUCUGACAGUGACAUUCCCAACGAGUGUCGCUGACGCGAAAGCGUGGUCUAGCGAACCAAUCAGCCUGCUUGAUGCGGGCGAUUGAUGACAGAAAAGCUACCUUAGGGAUAACAGAGUCGUCACUCGCAAGAGCACAUAUCGACCGAGUGGCUUGCUACCUCGAUGUCGGUUCCCUCCAUCCUGCCCGUGCAGAAGCGGGCAAGGGUGAGGUUGUUCGCCUAUUAAAGGAGGUCGUGAGCUGGGUUUAGACCGUCGUGAGACAGGUCGGCUGCUAUCUAUUGGGGGUGUCACGGAACCUGACGGGAACGAUCGUAUAGUACGAGAGGAACUCCGAUUGGUCACCACUGGUGUACCGGUUGUCCGAGAGGGCACGCGCCGGGCAGCCACGUGACACGGGGUAAGAGCUGAACGCAUCUAAGCUCGAAACCCACCUGGAAAAGAGGUUCCACCAUAGGUCACCCGUAGAAGACGGGUUCGAUAGACUCGGGGUGUACGCGCCAAGGCAACGAGGCGUUCAGCCCGCGAGCACUAACAGACCAACGCCACACACU
RNAcentral lists this ribosomal RNA (2912 nucleotides) under Halostella limicola. Its description in RNAcentral is "bacterial LSU rRNA". It matches the Rfam family "Archaeal large subunit ribosomal RNA". The record is from RNAcentral. Lineage: Archaea; Methanobacteriati; Methanobacteriota; Halobacteria; Halobacteriales; Natronoarchaeaceae.